Molecule: long non-coding RNA, 2346 nt
Organism: Ailuropoda melanoleuca (giant panda)
Lineage: Eukaryota; Metazoa; Chordata; Mammalia; Carnivora; Ursidae
Exons: 3
Source: RefSeq, a predicted model, not a curated record
UGUGGUCACUUCCUGUUCAUAUGCCUGCCCCCCACUGAGCCAGGAACUCCCCGAGGAAAUGCUGCCUCAUUCAUCUUGGUGGCCCUGUAUGUACCCAGCACGGGGUGCAGCACUUAGGGGGUGUUCAAGAAAUAUUGGCUGGUGGACAGAUGGGUGAUGGGCAAAGGAAGGAAAGAGCGGGAGUGCUCAAAGAUGAGGCCAGAAAGGACACUUUGCGCAUGACAGCAAUCCUCGUCUUCUCCAGCCCGUCCUUGGUCCCGCUCUUGGCAGCCUUCAUGAGCUGGGUCAUCUGAGCAAAGGCAAAGGGGCUCAUCAGAGAAGCUGAGGGAUGCCCCAGGAUGCCUGCCAAGGGCCGCCAGCCCCACCCAGGCCUCACAGCCAGAGCUGCACACAUCAAGACCCCUGGGCCCAUUCACUUCCAGGGAGGUGGCAGCAGAGGCCAAGAGGGACAGCCAGGCAGUGGCACCUGAGACAUCCCGGGACAAGCCUAGUCAGGUCUGGAGAAAGCUGGAGCCCCCAAGCGGCCAGGCAGAAGGAGAGCAGGUGCGAGGAGGAGGCGGGACAGGAGGAGACAAACAGGACAACAGAGGAGAAAGGAGACCAGGUGAGGCGGGAUGUGGGGCGUGGGGAGGGCUCCCACCCCAACAUGUAGGCAGCGGGGGCGGGGUCCUGGCUGCUGGGAGGACAGGAGAGGACCAACCAGGCCCCCCUCAGGGAAGGGGGACAGCACUUGGAAGACAAGGACUGUGUCUCAGGCAUCCCCCCAUCCCAGGGGCCAGCGUGGGGCUGGUGACAUAGGAGGUUCUCGGUACGUCUGUGAGAUGGAUGGGUGGCGGGGGGAUGGAUGGGCAGGAUGGGUGGGUGGGCAAAUGCAUAGGAAGACGGGUGAAUGUAUAGAGGGAUGGUUGGACAGGUAGAUGGACAACAGACAGAGGGAUGGGUGGAUGGAUGGAUGGACGGACAGACAGAUAAAUGGAUAGGUGAGCAAAUGGAUAAACUUAGUUGGAUGACCGCAGAGCUGUGUAAAUGGAUGGGCAGGUGAACUGUAAGAUGAAUGAAUAAAAACACAGAGGGACUGGUGGGUGGAUGGAAGCAAUGCCGUGCUGGUAAGUAUUUAACAAAUGCUUCUCCAGGAGAAAGAGCCCUGCUUUGUAGUAUUUCCAUGGUGUGAAUACUCCUACCAUGGCAAAUUUCACACUACCAGUGUGACACCACUGAAAGCAGAGUUGGAAAGAGUGUACAGCUGGUUCCUAGAUCUUGUGAACUAGGAAGAGCCAGCUCUGGCACACCACUGGAGGAAGGAAUGGGUUAAUAGAGGGAGGCAGGAGGGAGGGACAGAGGGAGCGCAGGCAGGCAACUGGUUGGAAGGAUGGGUGGCAGACUAGCUUACAUACUAUCUGCGAAAACGGAUGGAUGGAGAGACACACAGAUAGACAUUCAAGUGCGUGACCCAUGUGAGCAACAGUGAUAUUUGGUAAAGCAUGCAGAAAACCGAGACAUACAGAAAACCAUGCUCCGGAAGCAUGAACUCUGGAGGCAAGCAGGCCUACAUUCAAAUCACCACCCCCUGGCUCACUAGCUGGAAAAGUAUCUUUACCUCUCGGAGGGACACUUCCUCACUGGUCAAGUGGCCGGGAUAAUUACUUCACAGAAUUACUGAGAAGAUUAAAUGGGCAAUACGCGUAGAGCCCAGGACUUAGUAAGUGCCCAAAAAUGGAAGCUGUUAUUACACUACCUUACAAAUUAUAAAUGCUCAGUAUUUGUUGAAUGGACGGAUAGUUGUUCAGAUGGCUGGCUGGCUGGCUGGCUGGCUGAAUAGAUGGGUGGAUACUUGGAUAGAUGGAUAGGUGGGUGGAUGGAUGGAUGGAUACCUGCAUAGAUGGAUAGAUGGAUGGAUACUUGGAUAGAUGGUUACAUGGAUGGAUGGAUGGAUGGAUGGAUGGAUGGAUGGAUGGACGGAUCCAUGCAUGCAUGGACAGAAAGAUGAUAUAUUUUGUUUCAGAUCAGAUGUGAUAUUGAGUUGGAGCUCUCCCACUUACUGGCUAUGUGACCUUAACCUCAUCAUUUCGCCUCUCUAAACCUUUGUCUUAGGUUCUCCGAUCAACAAAAUGAGACUUUUAAUGCAAAUAAUACCGACCACUCUAGGGUGUUAGGAAAACCAUAUGAACUGCUUUGUAAACUGUACCACGCUAAGCAGAUGUUCACUCCUGUUAAUGCAAAGAAAGAGUAGGACAGGGAUCCUUCUGAGAAUUACUCAGACUCCCCAAAACUGGAGAGUUGGGGUUUCUUCUGAGUCCUGUUUCAUCUGUAAAUUGACAAUAAAAUCAUAAAGGCCCUGGCUUUGCC